Molecule: ribosomal RNA, 729 nt
Filed under: uncultured bacterium
Lineage: Bacteria
Description: bacterial SSU rRNA
Rfam family: Bacterial small subunit ribosomal RNA
Source: RNAcentral
AACGAACGCUGGCGGCGUGGAUAAGACAUGCAAGUCGAACGAGAGAAUUGCUAGCUUGCUAGUAAUUCUCUAGUGGCGCACGGGUGAGUAACACGUGAGUAACCUGCCCCCGAGAGCGGGAUAGCCCUGGGAAACUGGGAUUAAUACCGCAUAGUAUCGAAAGAUUAAAGCAGCAAUGCGCUUGGGGAUGGGCUCGCGGCCUAUUAGUUAGUUGGUGAGGUAACGGCUCACCAAGGCGAUGACGGGUAGCCGGUCUGAGAGGAUGUCCGGCCACACUGGAACUGAGACACGGUCCAGACACCUACGGGUGGCAGCAGUCGAGAAUCAUUCACAAUGGGGGAAACCCUGAUGGUGCGACGCCGCGUGGGGGAAUGAAGGUCUUCGGAUUGUAAACCCCUGUCAUGUGGGAGCAAAUUAAAAAGAUAGUACCACAAGAGGAAGAGACGGCUAACUCUGUGCCAGCAGCCGCGGUAAUACAGAGGUCUCAAGCGUUGUUCGGAAUCACUGGGCGUAAAGCGUGCGUAGGCUGUUUCGUAAGUCGUGUGUGAAAGGCGCGGGCUCAACCCGCGGACGGCACAUGAUACUGCGAGACUAGAGUAAUGGAGGGGGAACCGGAAUUCUCGGUGUAGCAGUGAAAUGCGUAGAUAUCGAGAGGAACACUCGUGGCGAAGGCGGGUUCCUGGACAUUAACUGACGCUGAGGCACGAAGGCCAGGGGAGCGAAAGAGAU